UGAAUAUUGCCAGGGAUAGGUGCCCGCAAGGGCUUAAUAGGGAAGUUUGGUGCAAAGCCAACACGGUCCCGCCACUGUAAUGGGGAGCAAUGCCGAGAUAUACCACUGGGACGAAGGUCCUGGGAAGGUUUGGCAAAGCCAUGAACCGCAAGUCAGGAGAACUGCCUGUCCGACAAUCGCCGU
Molecule: non-coding RNA, 183 nt
Filed under: Sporomusa sphaeroides
Lineage: Bacteria; Bacillati; Bacillota; Negativicutes; Selenomonadales; Sporomusaceae
Also listed under: 1 other name
Source: RNAcentral